Molecule: long non-coding RNA, 333 nt
Filed under: Androctonus crassicauda
Lineage: Eukaryota; Metazoa; Arthropoda; Arachnida; Scorpiones; Buthidae
Source: RNAcentral
AUGUUUAUGUUAAUGAAGCAAAGUAGUUCUGACAGUAUAACCAAUAUGCCAGCUAUCAGUCUACAGGCAAGCUUUUUGAUAUAUAAAAUAUUGAAAUACAGGUAUCCUUCGUAUAAGCUAGUAGAUAGGCUAAAAAAUGCCAUGGAAAACAUAGUAUAUGAGACUGGAGUCAAUACAAAAAAGGGAGUUGCAUUCCAAAACCAAUUUAAACAAAUGAAAUUAAAACAAAUAACUUCCUUUAAUUCCACAUAAGAAACUUAAUUUUUAUUAAGAAUAUUAAUAACACAAAACAUAAAGAAAGAAAAAAUGUAUAUCUAAGACCCUAAAAAAACG